UAAGCGCCGAGCGAGUUCAAGCUCAACAACCCCAGGGAACUCAAGAUUGAGCAGAGAAAAACGUAUUGAUCCCAGAUUCGGGACUCAGUUUCUCCGUCCAUCCGCCGUCGUCCUGGAGACCAGGCAGCAACCAAUGCAAAAAAGACAACGGCCUUAAAGUGUGGCGAUAGGUGAGUGAUGGACUUUCCGGACUCGAAUAGAAUGGAAACCGUGGAUACACCGAGAACCACACGUGGAAUGAAUGGCGCACGAAGUCCUUCAGUUAGCUGGUGGGAAUUCACAAGCAAAAGCCGGAACCAAAUAUGUGAAAAAAUAGUUACUGGACAACAUGAAGAACUGAUUAAGAGGGGACCGUGCGGGAGUUUUCGAAUCACGUGGAGAGGGGGAAAGAAAGUCAAUUGUGCAUGUGGACAAACAGAUGACAGUCCUUGUCCGCCGCUGCCGCCGCCGCCCCAUGAACUGAAGAGAGAGUCGCUCGUGUUGUGGGUUUUCCCAUUCAGAUCCCGAAAACCGGAAGGAAACUCAACGAACGGCUCUCAACUCUCGAGUCUCAUCCUCCAAAAAAACUUGUUUCUCCCAAAGUGUAAACAAAUCGGUAGGGUCGAGAGAGUGGUACCCUGGGCUAUACAACGAAACAUCUCUACGAUGAGUUUUCCUCAUCUAAUACUCUCUCAGCUUCCCCUCUCCGUUUCCCUGUGCAGUCUUUUCAAUGUAAUUGUCCGGAAGUGGGCACGAACCUGUAUGAAUGUACAAGUUCGGUUGGAUUCCCCCCACCAGCCCGUGUUCUAUGCCAACAAGGAGAUGACGAUAGGAGUCAUAUCCGAUGUAUGGUGGUAGGCUGGUUGGCUCAGUUGCUCAGUGGUUUUCGGAUCUUUCCCGAUGGUUGAGCACGCGUCGUUCACUUGAAGAGAAUGGACUUCAAAUCACUCAGGAUUGGAUAGAAUGCGAUUCCUCCGUUGUUCUAAGGCUCUCAAAAAGGAUCAAGCCCCUAUUGUCUUUGAAUAAAUUGAUUGUUCUAGAAGAGCAGAUGGUGGGCGUCGAACAAUAAAUAUGAAGACGAACGACAAUCUAUUUGAAUAUAGCUCGUAUUAGACUAAUCCUGGGCUCAUUGUUCGCGCGAAAUGAGCUUUGCUAAGACACCAACCCAGGCGGGAAAGCCAGAGAUCGUAUCGGGUGGCUCAGUUGAUUCCUUCAAAUCCCACCAUGAUUCAUGGAAAUCUCAGGAAAUUAGUGGAUAGUCCCUCCUCCUUCUGCUCCUUGUUCUCGGGAUUCUCAUCAUUUGGCCAUGAUCCAUCAUGCUAAAUAAAUACCUACGGUAGGAGGUGUCAUUGGGGAACAAAGACAUACCUGAGUUGAACAAAUUUGGAGCAGAUCUCAUUCAAAGGACCACUUUGGAUAUUGGCCUGAUUGAACAACACCAAACCAACCAUUUCCCCAUUUCCCUCUCCCCAAUCCAACGACAUUCCUUUCGACAAAAGUGAAGAAUGGCCAACUCGGCAUGUCGCCUGACGACUCGCCGGGUCCUUUUAUAGGUACUUGCUCA
Long non-coding RNA from Tigriopus californicus, 1543 nucleotides. RefSeq lists it as uncharacterized. The transcript is spliced from 4 exons. The record is from RefSeq and is a predicted model, not a curated record. NCBI's taxonomy places the organism in Eukaryota, Metazoa, Arthropoda, Copepoda, Harpacticoida, Harpacticidae.